This is a long non-coding RNA of Dreissena polymorpha, 5455 nucleotides long. RefSeq lists it as uncharacterized. The transcript has 3 exons. Lineage: Eukaryota; Metazoa; Mollusca; Bivalvia; Myida; Dreissenidae. The record is from RefSeq and is a predicted model, not a curated record.
CGGACGUACUUUCGUGAGCUCUGACUAUUGAUGAAAAGUUUUGAGUUUUACUGACUUGUACUUUGAGAGUAAAAUUGACUUCGCGUUAUAGAAUAGCGACUUGGUACUCAGGUUGUUGAAUGACUGGAUGACUGUAGUGUUAGGUUAUUGUUAUGAGAUAACAACUUGACUUUGACUUGAGUUGUGAAAUAAAAUCAUACUCUUGAACGUUUAGUAUGGACUGACAACGAACUUUUGUGAGCGUUAUAUAUGAAAUGUUUGACUUACAUUAAUUUUUUUGAACGACUUGACUUCAAUUUAAGUUUUGACAUCGGACUGAUCGGACGUGUUUUUUUAAGCCCUGACUGUUGUGAAUAAUUAAAUUUAUGUUGUGGUGUCAAGCGAUUGACUGUCAGUAGAGGUUCAGAUGUCGAGCUGUGCGGACGUGUUCAUCGAGCUGCUGUCUACAAAAAACGUGAGUACAAUUUUUUUUCGUUUUACUGUUUACAAGUUGCGUGAUGAUGUAUGAUGGUUGUAAUGUGUUGGGUAGAAAUUACUCAGUGCUGAUACAGUGUCGAUAUGUUGUGAUGAGCGAUAAUAGUGGAUGAUGGUGGAACAGAAUAUUCAUUGAGCUAUUUUGAGGAAGCGAACAUAUGAUGGAAAAAUGUUGCAAAAAUAUUAAAUGACAAUGUAUUGAAUCGCUUUUGUUGAUAUGUAUGAUAUUGAUUAAAUUGUAUUUGCAUGCUGUAACAUUUCUAUUUCAUUUCAGGGGGCUGUGGUGAGUAUUGUAGUAUAAAUUUGUUUCAAUAAAUCAUGAUGAAUGAAAACUGAUUUCGAUUCGUUUUGUACAGGUUUACUUGUAUAGAAGUGUAAGGCGUUGGGUAGAAAUUACUCAGUACUGAUAUAGUGUCGAUAUGUUGUGAUUAGCGAUGAUGGUGUAUGAUGGUGGAACAGAAUAUGAGCUACUUUGGGGAAACGAACAUAUGAUUGAAAAAUGAUUGCAAACAUAGUAGAUGAAUGAUAUGAUAUUGCUUAAAUUGUAUUUGCAUGCUGUAACAUUUCUAUUCCAUUUCAGUGCGCUGUGGUGAGUAUUGUAGUAUAAAUUUGUUUCAAUAAACGAUGAUGAAUGAAAACUGAUUUCGAUUCGUUUUUUGUAAUUGUAGGGAUUUUCACUCUAUAACAACUCUGUCGGUUGGUGUUCAUGAGUGUGAGCUUAAUACAGCAAUGUUUGAGUAGUACAAAAAUGUUUUCGCUUUUGUGGUCGCCAGCUGUCCGUGAUCUGUAAAGUGAAAAUACACAGAGCUAUGAAGCAUACAAAUGUUUCGAAAUUUUAUCAAUGAUUGUAUACUAUGCAUGUUUUGAUUUAGUUCGUUUCAGAUUUGACAUGAGAUGAAAACCUGACAUGAUUUGAACAGAGCUGGGAAACGAAAAGAUUUUCAGAUGUGUGCUGGCAGUUGAAGUCUGGCAGCCGGAGUGAACAGUCGUGAUUUCUGGAGCUCCAACAAUAUGCUAGAAGGAGUGCUUAUCCAGUGAUGAUAUGACAGUUGGAGUGAACAGUGGAGCCAAGCAGUCUUGUUUUUGGAGCUACUCAACAAGCCUUGAAGGUAAGUUUAGAAUUCCUCAAUGUUAGUGAAUUAUUUAAAAAAAAUGCUGUCAGUAAAGUACUGUCAGUUGCUUUUGGACAGUCGAACAGAACAGACGUGGUUGCGAGAGCUCUCAUAUCUGUUGUGUUAAACUGUUUUUAUGAUAUGUUAUGUUUGUUUGUUUGUUUGUUGGUGUUGUACUAUUUUUCAGAUGCUGUUGGCAGUGAUGGGUUUUCAAGCUGACCUGAACAGAAAAGCAAUCAUAUGGUAAGUACAAAUAGUUGUUAUAUGGGAUGUUUUGUGCAUGCUUUUAUGUUUCAGGUGUACUUGCAGUUAGAGACGAAGACGAUUCAAGAAGAGGACCAUAGGUCAGAAAGUGGAUGGAACAUACAAAGGGUAAGUUGAACCUGUGUUUUUGUUUGAUUUUUACCAUGCAUACUUUGCUUUGCUCUGUUUCAGAUUUCACAUGCAGAAAUUAAACAGGAUUUCAACUGCUGAGACACAAUUCAUCACAAGUAAGGUAAGUUUUAAUUCAUUGAUUUGAGUUGUACAAUGUGUUCUUUACUUUAUUUCAGAUUCGAGUCACUGGUUUACACAUGGAAGAAGAUUUCCACGUCGGUUACUCAACUCUACAGAAGCAAGGUAAGUCGAUCAAAUUUUUGUUUUCAUUUGUACUGCUGUAAUGUGAUAGUAAACUUAUGCUAUUUUUCAUGUGUGUCAUGUACAGAUGGAUAAUUCAAGUUUGAUCUGUGUUGGUUUAUGUUCAAAAACGUUUUACAUGUAUGUGUGUUUGAAGAUGUUUUGUUUCAGUGGAUGUCCAGAUGGCAAGCAGAACAGACGUGUUUCUUGGAGCUGCCAAACAGUGAGUACAAACGUUUUAUAUUUUUCAGUUGUUUACUCAUAGAAGUCUGUGAAAGAUGAUAACAAGGGUUGAAUUGCACAGUACUUGUGUCUAAAAAUGCUGAUGUGUGACGGUUUACUGAAAAGGGUAAAUGCUAGCCAGUACUAACACUUGAGCAACCGUGGGAUGUCGAACUAACUGAUGAUGUACUAUGAUGGUGAACACUUACUAUGUGUAUCGAAAUGCUUUUGUUGAUAUUUAUUAUAGAUGAUUUGAUAUUGGUUAACAUUUGUUUGCAUGCUGUUAACAUUUCUAUUUCAUUUCAGGGAGCUGUGGUGAGUAUUGUAGUAUACAUUUGUUUCAAUAAUGUUUGAGUAGUACAAAAAUGUCUUUACUUUUGUGAUCGCCAGUUGUCUGUGAUAUGUAACGUAAACAAAAAACACAGCUAUGAAGCAUACAAUUGUUUCGAAAUUUUAUCAAUGAUUGUAUACUAUGCAUGUUUUGAUUUAGUUCGUUUCAGAUAUGACAUGACAUGAAGAGUUGACAGUCGAACAGAGCUGAGCAAUGCAGAAAGGUAAGUGUGUUUCAUUUUAGUAUGAACACUUGUAUUUUGUUUUUAUAUGGUAUGUUUUGUGCAUGCUAUGUUUCAGGUGUACUUGUAGUCAGCGACGAAGACGAUUCAAGAAGAGGAACAUUGCUGAGAAAGUGAAUGGGACUUGCAAACAGGGUAAGUGUUACAAUUGUUUGUUUGAUUUUUACCAUGCAUACUUUGCUUUGCUCUGUUUCAGAUUUCACAUGCAGAAAUGGUCUCAUAGCAGUGCCAACAGUGAAUAAGGAUUUCAUCUGCUGUGAAACAACUCAACAGAAAGUAGGUAAGCAUUGAAUGAAUGCACUUGAGUUGUACAAUUUGAUGUGAUGCUUUUUUCUGUUUCAGAUUCAAGUUUCUGGUGUAGACAGAAAAAUGUGUUUGAAGAAGGAAUUCUACUACUGUGAUUCAACUCUACAGAAGCAAGGUAAGUAGAAACAAAAUUUUGGUUUAAUUUAACUCAUGUGUUUUGCACUGCAUGCUAUUUUUCAGGUCUCUCAUGCAGUGAUGCAAAAGAAGAAGAUUUCAAGAAAGAAUCACUGCUGCAACUCAGGCCUAUAACAAGGUAAGUGUUUACUAUAUUGUAUACAAAAUGUUUCUCUGUUUUACUCUGUUUGAAGGUUUCAAUUGCAGAGAUGUUGCAGAGAUGUUUUGACAGCUUGUGACAGAAAAGAAAUUCAGCAGCUGUGUCUCGACUCUAGCCACGAGGUAAGUCAAAACAAAUAUACUGGUUUGUAUGUUAUGUUGUUAUGCCCUUCUAUGUUUCAGACUUACAUUGCUGUGACUGUUCCACAGUGGGUCAAAAAAGAGACGAAUACAGGUUUCAAGAAGAAAAUUGGCUGUUGAAAACCUGCACAAAAUAUGAGGUAAGUAAACUAUUCUUUUGGUUUGUUUUGUGCUUUGUUAUGCUUAACUAUUUUUCAGAUUGGAAUGGUGGGUCGUUACAGAGCAGACUUUUGGACAACUGAGAAGUUGAGAAACAGAGAAUGAUUCAAGAUCAGCUAGGUAAGUCUUGAUUAUUGUGCAUUGCUAAAUGUUUUUUUUCAUUCCAGUAUGGCUGUGGUAAGUACACAAACUUUCUAUAAUUUAAUAUUGAACUGUUUUUAUGACCUGUAUUCUGCAUUGUAAAAUGUCUGUUUUUCAUUUCAGUAUCCUGUGGUAAGUACACUAACUUUCUUUAAUUUUCAUAUUGAACUGUUUUGAUGACUUGUAUACUACUAUGCAAUGCCUAAUGUUUUUUUCAUUUCAGUAGCCUGUUGGUAAGUACACUAACUUUCUAUAAUUUCAUAGUGAAUUGUUUUGAUGACCUGUAUUCUGCAUUGUAAAAUGUGUUUCUUUUUCAUUUCAGUAUGGCUGUGGUAAGUACAAUUGCCUUUCAUAUUGAACUGUUUUGAUGACCUGUAUUUUGCAUUGUAAAAUGUGUUUCUUUUUCAUUUCAGUAUGGCUGUGGUAAGUACACAAACUUUCUUUAAUUUUCAUAUUGAACUGUUUUGAUGACUUGUAUUCUACUAUGCAAUGCUUAAUGUAUUUUUUUCAGUAGCCUGUUGGUAAGUACAAUUGCCUUCUUUAAUUUUCAUAUUGAACUGUUUUGAUGAUGUGUAUACUGCUAUGCAAUGCUUAAUGUUUUUUUCAUUUCAGUAUGGCUGUGGUAAGUACACAUACUUUCUAUAAUUUCAUAUUGAACUGUUUUGAUGACUUGUAUACUGCUAUGCAAAAUGUCUGUUUUUCAUUUCAGUAGCCUGUGGUAAGUACACUAACUUUCUUUAAUUUUCAUAUUGAACUGUUUUGAUGACUUGUAUUCUGCUAUACAAAAUGUGCUUUUUUCAAUUUCAGGUCAGCAAUGGUAAGUAUAGUGUGUUUUUUUAUGUAUAAUUUUGUAUACAUAUUGUUUUUUUCAUCAUAGCAUGUCUUUUAUAUUUAUGCUUUGUGUAAGUAAAAUGUUCAUAAAUCAUUCUUAUCUUCAAACUAAAAAUGUAUUGUGCUAUGCAAAAUGUCUGUAUGAUUUCAGUUGCCAGAGGUGAGUACCAUUACAGUUGAAAAGUUAGUUUUGUUUAGUUAAAGUUUUGGUUCACAGUUCUGUUUGUUAUUUGGCAAAAUUUACAUGUAUGCAUUGAGUCUUGAUUUCAGCUCGAUUGUGGACUGAAGAAGAUUGCCCGCAGAGGGAUUGGAUACAAAAUACAAAGUAAGUACUGAGUUUCUUACUAAAAGUUUUGAGUUGUAUUCAUUGUGUGUUAAUAUGCUAUGAUUGCUAUGAACAUGACUUUUGUAUUUCAGCGAAGACAACAUAGGUAAGUAAAAUUGUUAUCUGUUUCAUGUUUACUGUUACAGUUCAAUAUUGUGUUUAUAAAUUGUAAGUUGUACAAACACAUUCAAAAGUUUCUAAUCAUGCUUUCGAUUUCAUUUCAGCUUUACUGCUAGACGAGUGUUCUCUACUACUUGACGAGUCAGCUUUACUACCAUGCGAGC